GGGCCCUUAGCUCAGUUGGUUAGAGCAGAGGACUCAUAAUCCUUUGGUCGCUGGUUCAAGUCCAGCAGGGCCCA
Molecule: transfer RNA, 74 nt
Filed under: Polynucleobacter victoriensis
Lineage: Bacteria; Pseudomonadati; Pseudomonadota; Betaproteobacteria; Burkholderiales; Burkholderiaceae
Rfam family: tRNA
About the family: Transfer RNA (tRNA) molecules are approximately 80 nucleotides in length. Their secondary structure includes four short double-helical elements and three loops (D, anti-codon, and T loops).
Source: Rfam by way of RNAcentral